RNAcentral lists this ribosomal RNA (515 nucleotides) under uncultured bacterium. RNAcentral describes it as "partial 16S ribosomal RNA". It matches the Rfam family "Bacterial small subunit ribosomal RNA", at positions 28 to 523 of the family's 1533-position model. The record is from RNAcentral.
GAUGAACGCUGGCGGCGUGCCUAAUACAUGCAAGUCGAGCGAAUGGAUUAAGAGCUUGCUCUUAUGAAGUUAGCGGCGGACGGGUGAGUAACACGUGGGUAACCUGCCCAUAAGACUGGGAUAACUCCGGGAAACCGGGGCUAAUACCGGAUAAUAUUUUGAACUGUAUGGUUCAAAAUUGAAAGGCGUCUUCGGCUGUCACUUAUGGCUGGACCCGCGUCGCAUUAGCUAGUUGGUGAGGUAACGGCUCACCAAGUCAACGAUGCGUAGCCUACCUGAGAGGGUGAUCGGCCACACUAGGACGGAGACACGGCCCAGACUCCGACGGGAGGAAGCAGUAGGGAAACUUCCGCAAUGGACGAAAGUCUGACGGAGCAACGCCGCGUGAGUGAUGAAGGCUUUCGGGUCGUAAAACUCUGCUGUUAGGGAAGAACAAGUGCUAGUUGAAUAAGCUGGCACCUUGACGGUACCUAACCAGAAAGCCACGGCUAACUACGUGCCAGCCGCCGCGGUAA